CAACGAGAUUCAUAAAAACGUUUUUCUACUAAUAUACUAUAAAUGAAGUUAGCAUAAAAUGAUACGAUUGAGCUAACAAUUUAAACAUGCGACAUUGUUCAACAAAGUCAUAUAUAAAAUUUUGGUGGAAUUAAAGUUUUCAUAAGAUUUAAAAUGAACGAAAUUAAUUACAAUAAUUAUAUAUAAUUUAUAUAAUUAUAUAUAAUAAUUAUAUAUAAAACUUUGGUGGAAUUAAAGUUUUCAUAAGAUUUAAAAUGAACGAAAUUAAUUACAAUAAUUUUUUAUUCUAAAUGUUUUCAUAUCUUACAACAUAAAUAUUUUACUAGUUUUAAUGUACAAAACGUUUUGAAGGAAAAUAAAUAAUUACGGUUUGUCUUUUUUCAUUCUAUUCCAUAAUUUAAAAUUUUUCUCCAUUACGUCCACCUAUGGUUGCUGAGGCAUAAGGUUUCGGUAAGGUUAUAACUUCUUCAGAUAUUUUUUUAAAUAAUAGAAGCUUCUUUUCUUAAUAAAAAAACAUUUUUAAAGAACUAUUAUUAAAUAUUAACGUUUCUUUAGGUGGUUUGGUAUGGAAAUAUAAUGUGAUUAUUGAGCCUGUUAAGGGGAGUUAGUAAUAUUUAGUCCAGUUCACAAUUAUUAAAAUUAUACAAAUUUUUAAAAGUGGCAGUUAAAAAAUUAACUUAUAUUUAUUACAAUAAAAUAUAAAAUCAUGUAUUUCAUGUAUUUGAAUCAUCCAUUAUCAUACUUAACUAAAAUGAGAAAGAAUAAUGUACUGUAAAAGAUGGAAAAAACAAAGUACAUAAACGGUCUUCCUAUUUUCUUAAUGACACAAAUGCUAAAGUGAUUGUUCGAAGAAGAAUAAAGGAUUGUUCGAAGAAGAUUUCACUAACAAAUAAUAAUCAUCCCUAUAAUGACAGAUUUAUAGCGUUGAAUUCAACAAGUUUGAAAAAAAGACGAGAGCGCAGUGGCUUAGUUUAAAUGAUUGAAUUAGGUACCCCAAGAAGUCCUAACGGUCUUGUCACAGAGCAUCGCGGAAGUGCAUUUAACCAGGAAGUUCGUGCCUCCUUCCUUACCAUGACGCGAAAUAUG
Molecule: non-coding RNA, 1086 nt
Organism: Hydra vulgaris (swiftwater hydra)
Lineage: Eukaryota; Metazoa; Cnidaria; Hydrozoa; Anthoathecata; Hydridae
Source: RefSeq, a predicted model, not a curated record